Long non-coding RNA from Protopterus annectens (West African lungfish), 161 nucleotides. RefSeq lists it as uncharacterized. The record is from RefSeq and is a predicted model, not a curated record. NCBI's taxonomy places the organism in Eukaryota, Metazoa, Chordata, Ceratodontiformes, Protopteridae. The transcript is spliced from 2 exons.
CUGUGUUUUUCAGAUUUCUCUCUCACUGUUCCAAGCUUCCAGCCCCAGUAGAAAGUCGUAGUGUCCUAGAAUGGCAGCUGGCACUCAGUGUAAGCAGUACCCUCCUACAUUACUGAGUUUCUUCAUCUAUAAUCCAAAGUUUGGACCGAAGGAAGGAGAAG